AUGCCCCAGAUCAAGUCGAGCAGGUCGGCAUCCCAUCGAUCCACAGCCAGAUCCGCCACCCCGACCCGCUCCUCGUCCCACCCACCCCAAUCGGAGGGAGUCAUCCCUCGCGGAGCGGCAUGGACUCGGCGAUGCUCUCGCUCACCUGCACGGGCCUCGGGGACGCGAAGGACGACGACGACGGAGGCGUCGUCAGCUACGUCAAGGGGACCACCGCCUUGGUACCGCCCCCACUCUCCUCGCCUUUCCCCGUCAAGGGCUACGUCAAGGGAAACCACUAUCGCUGGAGGCGCACGGCCCCGGCGGCGACCGGCCGAAGAAGCCGCGCCGCUACGGGGUCAUGGAGAUGAGGAGCCCCUGCUACUCCUUCCGUCCCGCCCACCACGCGCUCCAGGUCAUUGUUGUGAAGGCCGCCAUGGGAAGGCGUGGGGGAUUUGGCACAAGUGUCAAGAGCUAUGUGAGCCCUCCUGGAAGGGGCUUUGGUUGGACCUCUGA
Molecule: ribosomal RNA, 495 nt
Filed under: Triticum aestivum (bread wheat)
Lineage: Eukaryota; Viridiplantae; Streptophyta; Magnoliopsida; Poales; Poaceae
Description: partial small subunit ribosomal RNA
Source: RNAcentral